This is a small nucleolar RNA of Equus asinus (donkey), 154 nucleotides long. The record is from Ensembl. Lineage: Eukaryota; Metazoa; Chordata; Mammalia; Perissodactyla; Equidae.
UCUGCACAUUGUUAGAGCUUGGAGUUGAGGCUUCUGGCUGGCCGAUGAACUCACAAGUGUAGGUAGUGUGCUACAUGAGGGGCAAGUUUUUCGCUAACACCACAAGGGUCUCUGGCCCAAUGAGUGGAGUUUGAUAGUAAUUCUUGCUACAAGU